This 1232-nucleotide long non-coding RNA is filed under the name Nicotiana tabacum (common tobacco). Its description in RNAcentral is "long non-coding RNA (NTAB_LNC008364)". The record is from RNAcentral. Lineage: Eukaryota; Viridiplantae; Streptophyta; Magnoliopsida; Solanales; Solanaceae.
AAGAUACUAUCAUGAACCAUAACUUUUGACAUUUCAGGUGAAUUAGGAAUUAAAAUAGAUAUCUAGUCAAAAAAAAAAACUAACCAAUCAAUCUUAUGCCUAGUACCAUCCUUUCUCAGAAUUUCAAUUUCAUCUAUAGGGACAUAUGGGGUAAGUCCGAAAAUUGGGCACAUAUUAAUUGGGAACAAUAAAUCCCAAAUAAAAGAUGGACAAUGACAAAAUAUAGCAACAAUGAGUAACACACUGGUAGCUGCAUAAAAUUAGAAGAAAACAUAUACACCUGCGACUCUUAAUUAAGCUCAUGCUAAUUAAUUAACUCCAACUCACACCAAUCACCACUGCUCCAUGAAAUAUCUCAUCUCAAAAAGACUGGAGCGGUGCCCUACAAAUUGGGACUUUUAUUACCAUUGUGAAUUAAAAUAUUUCACCAAGCGGACAAUACAUGUUAAAUCAUGCAUUUAGUUCAUAAUGCAUCUAAAGUAAAGUAAUAUUUGAAGCACUACCUGAUUAUGGAUAUAUUUAUAAAAUUGGAUCAUCAAAAUGUUUUUAUCUAAAGAAUUCGAGAGAAUAUAUUCAAGUAUUAUACUGUAAAUAGAUGUUUCUCUUACUUAACAUUACUAUUUGCUUACUGUAAUUAGAUGAUGAAGAAAGAAAAAAUAAUUAUUUAUUGUUUUAGGCAUACCAUCAAACAUCAUGGGUGCAUCAGUGUGCAAAAGGAAUUAGGUUUGCUUACCGAAAAAUCAGAUUCUGUAUUCAUUAAUUAUACAUAAGCAUGCACCUAGGCAUCGAUUUUCACAUAUGCAGAAACAUAGAUCAUGCACCCCAAGUAUUUUAUUCCUAAACAUCUAUGUGAAAAGAGGUAAAAAUAGUGGCAUGCAGAUAAAACAUAAACCAAAAAUUUUCAACAUAAGAGGAAAACUAACUAAAAGAUAUUUAUCAAAAUUCCAUCGCAAAGGAAUUAGUGCAAAAAGAAAACAAAGAAAGAAACAUGAAAAAACUCACCGUAAAAUCACAGGCAUAGAAGAGCCGAAGAGGUGAAAAGAAAUCGCAAAUAUAAAAUCUGGAAAUCAAACAAAAAUAUAAAAGUGAGAGGGAUGAAGUAAGAAUGAAGGGAAGCUGAAAUAAAAUCCGGAGUAAAGCACAGAACAAGCGACUAUUGAGUGCACAUCUAAUUAUUUGUAAACGGUGUGGCCUACCUGAGAAAUUUACAGAGCAAAAAUGCACUUUCAGAU